AUGGCUGUCGUCAGCUCGUGUCGUGAGAUGUUGGGUUAAGUCCCGCAACGAGCGCAACCCUCGUCCUAUGUUGCCACCAGGUAAUGCUGAGCACUCAUAGGAGACUGCCGGGGUCAACUCGGAGGAAGGUGGGGAUGACGUCAAGUCAUCAUGCCCCUUAUGUCCUGGGCUGCACACAUGCUACAAUGGCCGGUACAAAGGGCUGCGAUACCGCAAGGUGGAGCGAAUCCCAAAAAGCCGGUCUCAGUUCGGAUUGGGGUCUGCAACUCGACCCCAUGAAGUCGGAGUUGCUAGUAAUCGCAGAUCAGCAACGCUGCGGUGAAUACGUUCCCGGGCCUUGUACACACCGCCCGUCACGUCACGAAAGUCGGUAACACCCGAAGCCGGUGGCCCAACCCGUAAGGGAGGGAGCUGUCGAAGGUGGGACUGGCGAUUGGGACGAAGUCGUAACAAGGUAGCCGUACCGGAAGGUGCGGCUGGAUCACCUCCUUUCUAAGGAGCACCUGGCGUCGCCCGUUUCGGGUCGGCGUCCAGAGCCAUGUCGUGAGCGUUCGACUCACGGUGGUUGCUCAAGGGUGGAACAUUGACCAUUCGGCCGGCACUUCUCUCACCACCAAGUACAACCACAUUCGUGUGGAGUGGAACGGUUCAGGUGGGUGAGGGGUCGGCCUAGGCACGCUGUUGGGUCCUGAGGGAUACGGGCGUUUCGCUCGCAUCACUCUGGGGUCGUGCCCGCGCUGUACACAGCGCUUGGGCCUGGCCGGACCGUCUGCCUCGUCGUACGGCUUCCUAAUCGGAAGCACGCGGCGUGUUGCACAGGCGGGACCGCCCGUACCUUGAGAACUGCACAGUGGACGCGAGCAUCUUUUAGUGGCCAAGUUAUUAAGGGCGCACGGUGGAUGCCUUGGCACCAGGAGCCGAUGAAGGACGUAGGAGGCUGCGAUAAGCCUCGGGGAGCUGUCAACCGAGCUGUGAUCCGAGGAUUUCCGAAUGGGGAAACCCGG
RNAcentral lists this small RNA (1004 nucleotides) under uncultured Actinomycetales bacterium. RNAcentral describes it as "bacterial SSU rRNA". The stretch from base 1 to 492 matches the Rfam family "Bacterial small subunit ribosomal RNA", at positions 1045 to 1533 of the family's 1533-position model. The record is from RNAcentral. Lineage: Bacteria; Bacillati; Actinomycetota; Actinomycetes; Actinomycetales.